Molecule: ribosomal RNA, 253 nt
Filed under: uncultured bacterium
Lineage: Bacteria
Description: partial 16S ribosomal RNA
Rfam family: Bacterial small subunit ribosomal RNA
Source: RNAcentral
UACGUAGGGGGCAAGCGUUGUCCGGAAUCAUUGGGAGUAAAGAGCGUGUAGGCGGCCAGAAAAGUCCGCUGUGAAAACUCGAGGCUCAACUUCGAGCUGUCGGUGGAAACUUUCUGGCUAGAGUCCGGAAGAGGAGAAUGGAAUUCCUGGUGUAGCGGUGAAAUGCGCAGAUAUCAGGAAGAACACCCGUGGCGAAGGCGGUUCUCUGGGACGGUACUGACGCUGAGACGCGAAAGCGUGGGGAGCGAACAGG